UUAACUAUUAUAUAGUACUCAGACAUCACUAAAAUUCAGAGUUUGAUUCUCUGGCAGGCACAUGCAGGCAAAGCCUGCAGUGGAGGCCACGGCCUGCCAAAGCAACAAGAGUAAAUAAACACGGGUGGGGCUUCUCCGAACCGGGUGGGGUUACCACCACGGCCCAAAGGCCUCUUUAAUGAUCCUUCCGCAGGUUCACCUACGGAAA
RNAcentral lists this unclassified non-coding RNA (208 nucleotides) under uncultured fungus. RNAcentral's name for it is "sequence contains ITS1". Lineage: Eukaryota; Fungi. The record is from RNAcentral.